GGCUAGGGCGGAGCUGGCGGAGGAAGUCCGCGGCCUGCUCGGGCUGGCGCUGCCCUGGGGACGCUGGGACUGGGAGGCCGGGCGGCCCGGGCCCGGCGGCGGCGGCGGCGGCGGCGGCGGCGGCGGUGGCGGGAGGCCCGGUCCGGAGCGCCAUAUGAGACGGUUUAAACGGAAGCACCUUACAGCCAUCGAAUGCCAACAUUUGGCUCGGAGUCACUUGGCUGUGACCCAGCCCUUCGGUCAAAGAUGGACCAACAGAGACCCGAACCAUGGUCUCUAUCCUAGACCCAGAACAAAAAGAGGGACUAGGGGUCAAGGAUGUCAAAGAUACGACACUGACUUCUUCCCAGCCGGCCAGCAGCGGCGCAUCAAUGACAUGGCCAAAAGCAAUUCUGUGGGCCAGGACACCUCUAAGGACUCGGAGGGGGAAAUGAUCUUUGCUGCAGAGAGCAACUGUGCCCUGCCUCAGGAAGAUGAUGGUGAAGCAAGACUGGGCUCCUCAGGGUCUGCUCUGCCUGCAAGGAAGCGGUCUCGGUCCUUUGAGGACGACAGGAAUCAAGCUACGGGGACCAGUCCGUGGGAUGGGGUUUCUAAAAAGACUCCACGGCAUCGUUUGUCCCUGUCACGCGCAAGACCCAGAGAAACCAGGCAAGAAGCCGAGGACUGUCUGUCUCGGUGCUCUGUGGAGUCUGGAGAACCUGGCCAAGAAGUGGAGGACGUUGGUCCUGAUCCCAUUCCUGACUCUUACUAUGGGCUUCUUGGGACCCUGCCUUGCCAAGAACCCCAGAGCCUCAUAUGCAGCCUGCCCAGUGAAGUCCUAAGGCACAUCUUCGCUUUCCUCCCUGUGGAAGAUCUCUAUUGGAAUGCGAGCCUAGUGUGCCACCUUUGGAGAGAGAUCAUCAGUGAUCCACUGUUCAUUCCUUGGAAAAAGCUGUAUCAUCGCUACCUGAUGAAUGAAGAGCAAGCCGUGAGCAAAGUGGAUGGCAUCCUGUUGAACUAUGGUAUAGAGAAGGAGUCAGACUUGUGUGUGCUGAACCUCAUUCGCUAUACAGCCACCACUAAAUGCUCCCCCAGUGUGGAUCCUGGACGGGCGUUAUGGAGCCUGAGGGAUCACCUCCUCCUUCCCGAGGCAGAGGCGUGCGUGCGUCAGCACCUCCCUGAUCUCUACGUGGCUGCUGCGGGCGUCAACGUGUGGGCUCUGGUGGCGGCCAUCGCGCUGCUGUCCAGCAGUGUGCAUGACGUCCAGCAGCUGCUCUUCUGUCUCCGGAGACCCAGCUCCACCGUGACCAUGCCAGACGUCACCGAGACCCUAUAUUGCAUCGCUGUGCUUCUCUACGCCAUGAGGGAGAAGGGGAUCAACAUCAGCAACCGGAUUCACUACAACAUUUUCUAUUGCCUGUAUCUUCAGGAGAAUUCCUGUACUCAGGCCAGAGAAGUUACAGAGGAGCCGUCGGUUUGGCCAGGCAAGAAAACAACCAUCCAACUUACACACGAGCAACAGCUGAUUCUGAGCCACAAGAUGGAACCUCUCCAGGUGGUAAAGAUUAUGGCAUUUGCAGGCACCGGGAAGACCUCUACCCUGGUCAAGUAUGCUGAGAAGUGGUCUGAGAGCAGGUUUCUGUAUGUGACAUUCAACAAGAGCAUCGCAAAGCAGGCCGAGCUAGUCUUCCCCAGCAAUGUCAUCUGCAAAACCUUUCAUUCCAUGGCCUAUGGACACGUCGGGCGGAAGUACCAAUUAAAGAAGAAAUUGAAUCUCUUCAAGUUGACACCCUUCAUGGUCAAUUCUGUCCUUGCUGAAGGGAAAGGUGGAUUCAUAAGGGCCAAGCUAGUAUGUAAGACUUUAGAAAACUUCUUUGCCUCGGCUGACGAAGAGCUGACUAUUGAUCACGUGCCUAUCUGGUGUAAGAACAGCCAAGGACAGAGAGUCAUGGUUGAACAGAGUGAAAAGCUGAACGGUGUCCUUGAAGCCAGCCGACUCUGGGACAACAUGCGGAAGUUGGGGGAAUGCAAAGAAGAGGCUUACCAAAUGACUCAUGAUGGCUAUUUGAAACUCUGGCAGCUGAGCAAGCCUUUGCUUGCCUCUUUUGACGCCAUCUUUGUGGAUGAGGCCCAGGACUGUACCCCAGCUAUCAUGAACAUAGUUCUGUCUCAGCCAUGUGGGAAAAUCUUUGUAGGGGACCCACAUCAACAGAUCUAUACCUUCCGUGGUGCAGUCAAUGCUCUGUUUACAGUCCCUCACACGCACGUCUUCUAUCUCACACAGAGUUUCAGAUUUGGUGUGGAAAUUGCAUACGUGGGAGCUACCAUCUUGGAUGUCUGCAAGCGAGUAAGGAGAAAGACUUUGGUUGGAGGAAACCAUCAGAGUGGCAUUAGAGGUGAUGCCAAGGGCCAGGUGGCCCUGUUGUCCCGGACCAAUGCCAACGUGUUUGAUGAGGCUGUGCGGGUGACCGAAGGAGAAGUCCCUGCGAGGAUACAUCUGAUUGGGGGGAUUAAAUCAUUUGGAUUGGACAGAAUCAUUGAUAUUUGGAUCCUUCUUCAGCCGGAGGAAGAACGGAAGAAACAGAACCUCGUUAUUAAAGACAAGUUUAUUAGAAGAUGGGUGCACAAAGAAGGCUUUAGUGGCUUCAAGAGGUAUGUGACCGCAGCCGAGGACAAGGAGCUGGAAGCCAAGAUUGCAGUCGUUGAGAAGUAUAACAUCAGGAUUCCGGAGCUGGUGCAGAGGAUAGAGAAGUGCCACAUAGAAGACCUGGACUUUGCAGAGUACAUUUUGGGCACCGUGCACAAGGCCAAAGGCUUGGAGUUUGAUACCGUGCAUGUGCUGGAUGACUUCGUGAAAGUGCCCUGUGCCAGGCACAACCUCGCGCAGCUGCCGCACUUCAGAGUCGAGUCGUUUUCUGAAGAUGAAUGGAACUUACUGUAUGUUGCAGUAACCCGUGCCAAGAAGCGUCUCAUCAUGACCAAGUCCUUGGAGAACAUUUUGACUUUAGCUGGGGAGUACUUCCUGCAAGCAGAGCUGACCAGUAAUGUUUUGAAGACCGGAGUGGUGCGCUGCUGCGUGGGCCAGUGCAACAACGCCAUCCCCGUGGACACCGUGCUCACCAUGAAGAAGCCCCCCAUCACUUACAGCAACAGGAAGGAAAACAAGGGUGGCUACCUCUGCCAUUCCUGUGUGGAGCAGCGCAUUGGGCCCUUGGCCUUCCUGACGGCCUCCCCGGAGCAGGUGCACUCCAUGGAACGCACCGUCGAGAACAUAGUGCUGCCCAGACACGAAGCCCUGCUUUUCCUUGUCUUCUGAAAGCCAAGAGGAACUUUCUCCACGCACUUCAGGGAUGCAGAUGACAGGUGGGGGAGUUGGCACGGCAUUGCCCAAAGAGCUCACCACAUCUAGUCUCUGAGCCCACCAAGCGGCGUCCAGGAGCAGGCCUCGUAGCUUCCGUUGUCACAGCCUCCCCUUAGCCUCCUCCAUCAGCCUGGUGGAGCUUAGAGUGCGGGCCGCUUGAACGCGGUUGGUGCCUGAUGGACCACAGACUUAAUCUGUGAUGGACCGGAGGCAGGUGAUUCUGCAGCUCCGACACGGGCCUCCCGAGGUCAUCAUACUAGUUUUCCAAAGAUGAUGGUCAAAUGGAACCACGGAUCUGUGAAGCAGCCCCAUGACGUGACACUUUUACACGCGGUAGAAACCUUUCAACAUUCUGGUUCUAAUGAAUGGCUGCCAAUUUUUUUGUGCCGAGUUGUGUCUUCUGUCAAAUUAGUUUUUGAAAUCACAAAGGUCAAACUCUUAAAACUUACAAAGAACAAAAAGGGUCCAGUUAGUGGUAAACUCUAGAAAAAUAGGGGCAAACAGCUGAAGAGAGAUGCAAAACAUUUAGAUAAUCAGGCAGGUUCAGAAUAAUCAAGUGAUUAAGCCCAGCAAACACAAUGGCUCUGCUCCUGCCUUAGCCAUGAGUUUCCUCUCUUUGGGAAAGAGAAUUGCAGGGAGUGACAAUGGCAUGGCUCUAAAAUCCUAACACCAGCCCCUGGAAAUUCCUACCCUUCCUUCACUUUUGAUGAAACCAUCUAAAUUGACGAUGGGAGGAAUUUAGUCGGGAACGGCCCUUGGCGAGCUGCUGUGGAUGGUUACUGAGCCCGUGUCCCACUUUCCAAAUGCUUGUGAUGGCAGCCUGACUACCCCGCCUGUGCGCGAGGCAGUCGACGGC
RNA transcript from Ailuropoda melanoleuca (giant panda), 4196 nucleotides. It is a transcript of the gene named F-box DNA helicase 1, with no coding region annotated. The record is from RefSeq and is a predicted model, not a curated record. The transcript is spliced from 23 exons. Lineage: Eukaryota; Metazoa; Chordata; Mammalia; Carnivora; Ursidae.